Molecule: small RNA, 89 nt
Filed under: unclassified sequences
Description: GA-cis RNA
Rfam family: GA-cis RNA
Source: Rfam by way of RNAcentral
AGGAGGAAAUCCCCAAAUGAGGCACAGCAUCAUUUUUAUAUGGGACCGACGAACUGCCGCUGAACAGAGUGAGGGAGGCUACCCCAUAA